Molecule: long non-coding RNA, 1494 nt
Organism: Lutra lutra (Eurasian river otter)
Lineage: Eukaryota; Metazoa; Chordata; Mammalia; Carnivora; Mustelidae
Exons: 2
Source: RefSeq, a predicted model, not a curated record
GAUUUCCUGGGGCCAGGUGUCAUCGAGAGCUUCUCUGCAGGGAGGAGGAUGCUCGUGCCGAGGGCAAGGGCACCGGGCGACUUAGCGCUUCACUGACCCCUGCAGUCGGCCUGAGCUCAGCGUCCACACCGAAGACCUGAGGCUUUUUCCCCGAGCUGACGGCACCGGCAGCACCAGGCUAGCGUGGCGGUCAAGGGCUUGGGCUCUGGGUUGGAGUUCAGACUUGGCUGCUUCUGAUGGUGGGUCUCCAGGGAGUUUCCUGAACUUGAAGCCCAUCUCUCCCAUGUCUGGAGGGACUCCCAGCCCCCACCUGUCGGUAGUGCCUGGCACAGAGUCAGGCACACACUGAGCCCUGACCCCUGCGACUGCUGCGUUGACAAACCUGGUGCCUAGAAGCUGCUCCUGUGCACCCUCAGGCUCCUGGAGGGCACAGGGGUGGGCAGGGCACCCAUCCCCCUCCGCACCAUUAGCCACAGACGCGGGCUCUGGAGGAGCCAAGCACAUGCGGCCUGUGCCCCCUUCUCGUCCUUGGGUGAUGGGCUGCCCGUUGUGCUUCUGGACGAGGGAGGGGAGGCAGGAUGUUCCCUGGAAGGUGGGGCUGCCAUGGUGGCCUGGCCUGGGCUUCUGGAGCCUUCCUGCCUCAGGAGAUCCAGUUGUCCUAACCCACAGUCAGCAAUCUGUGGCCUGGGCACAGCUAAUUGGGUGUGUCCGUGCAAACGGGACAGGUGGAGAGAACAAAAAUAAGGCCAUGGAGUCAGGCCAGAGCCUCAGAGUCCAGGAGGAAGGUCAGGGGGACGCAUGAUGACUGAUGACCGAGCAGAAUGAGGCAGUGGAUGGUGGAAAAAACCACAGCGACGGAAGCCACGGCCUCCGGGAGCACCCGGGUCGUGGCUAAAACGGACGCUGAACUCUGACACAGGCCCCUGCUGGGAGGUGUUGAACGCAAUCAAGGAAAGCAAAGCUGGAGGGGAAGGCACGGGAGAGUCGGGAUUCUGAGCCAGUGUCCGGGAAGGCCUCCCCCAGGGGACAUCUGUGCAAGGGUCUUCCGGAGUUGAGGGAGGAGGAAGGGGGGCCGGGAAGGCUGGGUUGGCUGGCUGCCCGCUAGCCUGCGCAGCUUCACCCCUGCGGACGGGAUGCCCGGCGCCUGGGGCCCGGCGCUGCCCAGGAACCCUGUACACGUGGAAUGGAAGAGACACGGGAAGUUCCUGUCCGCGCUCUUGCUUACUGAAUCCAGCAUAGUAAAGAGACCACCGUUGCGACGUGUCAUCAGUGGAGGGGAUUGUGGACUGUUCCCUCUCUGUGUUUCAUCUGAGUCUUUGAAGUCCAGCGUGUGCCUCCCAGGGCCUGCCCGCCGUCGGACCCUGACCUGACCGUGGAAUCCCAGAUCCGUACUGGGGCUCAGAACUGACAUGAGAGAAGUGGACUCACACCCAAGCUGUUGCAAGUAUAUCUAAACGUUUUCCAAUAAAAACAUGGACUUCCAGUUUUUAAAAA